Sapajus apella (tufted capuchin) is the source of this 320-nucleotide long non-coding RNA. RefSeq lists it as uncharacterized. The record is from RefSeq and is a predicted model, not a curated record. NCBI's taxonomy places the organism in Eukaryota, Metazoa, Chordata, Mammalia, Primates, Cebidae. The transcript has 2 exons.
UUCAUGUUCUCUCUCCUCUUGCCCUAUCACUUCUUUCUCUUCUUAGAGGCCAGUCUCCUGAUUCACUCCUGCUCUGCCAGAAGGUGGAGAAUGAGAUGGAAUAGGCCCACCUGUUCUGGCCUGAGCUCUACAGGUGGUACAGAAGGCCCUGAGUAAGGCCUAAACGCCUGACUGCUCUCUCAGGUGGAAAAGAUUAAUAAAACUACUCCUUCCUUUCUGUGUGUGUGUAUAUACAAGGACUACAGAUGCUCUCAAUGACUCUGCAAUCAAAUGAUUAAUAUUGGCCCAACAUUAAUUAAAACUCUAAUGGCUAUAAAUUA